Cannabis sativa is the source of this 951-nucleotide long non-coding RNA. RefSeq lists it as uncharacterized. Lineage: Eukaryota; Viridiplantae; Streptophyta; Magnoliopsida; Rosales; Cannabaceae. The record is from RefSeq and is a predicted model, not a curated record. The transcript is spliced from 3 exons.
AACCAAGUUGGAGAAGUGUUCAUAUGAAUUUACAGAGAGAAUAAAUUCAAAAACGGCAAGACGUGUCAAAACCUAAAAAGUGAACCCAGAAAAAAAACAGUGUAGUGUAAAGGAACUAAAUAGAGAAUGAAAAUGAAAGAAUAACUUUAUUAAAACGCGAACAUAAAAAGCAGAGUCUAUUUAUUAAUUAUGUAAAAGACUUGAGGUAGACAUCAUAGGGUUUAGACUAUUAAAAAAAAUAAAGGAAAGAAACUAUUUUGUUUUUGGUAUAAAGUCCUUCCACACCAACUCAACUCAAACACAAUAAUAGUAUUUUGUCCACUCAUCACUUACUCCUCUUCAGUCUUCCCCUAAAUUAAGCCCUUUCUCUCAUUUGUAAUACUUUACAAACUCUUCAGUUUUGAUAUCUCUUACUUGGUUCAGAUCAGAACAAAUUAAAUCAUCAUGAAUGAUCCAAAAUAUGCUUAUCCCUACCCUGCUCAAGGUUACUAUCAAGGCCCUCCUGUAAUGGCUCCUCCACAAUAUGCUGCUCCACCACCAAGAAGAGAACCAGGAUUCCUUGAAGGAUGUCUUGCAGCUUUGUGUUGUUGUUGCCUUAUUGACGAGUGCUGCUGUGACCCCUCCAUCUUGUUCAUAUGUUAAUAUUAUAAAUAUAUUAAUAAGAUAUAUAUAUAUAAAUGUGUGUGUGUGUUGUUUAGAGGAUCAUGCAUAUGUAGAACUAUAUAGACAAUAUUUAUAACUUUUGUUGUGGUGUGAUAAUGCUAUUAUAUAUAUGCUCGUGAAGGAUUGUUUCCUUAUCUGCUAGCUAGAUCAUUCUUCUUCUGUAAUCUAUGGUUUUUACAUACCUAGCUACAACAAUUUAAGACCUUUAAGUUUGUGAUCUUCUACUUAUAUAUUUUGUUUCAACUUUAUAUUUUAAGCCUUGUUUGAGAUUAAUCUAGUUUAGAAAAA